RNAcentral lists this ribosomal RNA (325 nucleotides) under uncultured Pseudomonadota bacterium. Its description in RNAcentral is "bacterial SSU rRNA". It matches the Rfam family "Bacterial small subunit ribosomal RNA", at positions 30 to 351 of the family's 1533-position model. The record is from RNAcentral. Lineage: Bacteria; Pseudomonadati; Pseudomonadota.
AUUGAACGCUGGCGGCAUGCCUUACACAUGCAAGUCGAACGGCAGCACGGGAGCAAUCCUGGUGGCGAGUGGCGAACGGGUGAGUAAUAUAUCGGAACGUGCCCAGUCGUGGGGGGAUAACGCAGCGAAAGCUGUGCUAAUACCGCAUACGAUCUCUGAUGAAAGCGGGGGAUUCGCAAGGACCUCGCGCGAUUGGAGUGGCCGAUAUCAGAUUAGCUAGUAGGUGAGGUAAAGGCUCACCUAGGCGACGAUCCGUAGCUGGUCUGAGAGGACGACCAGCCAACACUGGAACUGAGACACGGUCCAGACUCCUACGGGGAGGCAG